This 397-nucleotide long non-coding RNA is filed under the name Carica papaya (papaya). RNAcentral describes it as "long non-coding RNA (CPAP_LNC006055)". The record is from RNAcentral. Lineage: Eukaryota; Viridiplantae; Streptophyta; Magnoliopsida; Brassicales; Caricaceae.
AUACAUCAGGGUCUCCUGUGUCAAUCUCUAUCAGAUCCAUCAUGGGUGAAACCGAGCCCUGUGGAAGAGGGGCCAGAUGUUGCUAGGGAGGGACUGGGUGGCGCUAUAAUAGUGUCAGAUGAUACAAGCUCUGAAUUAUAUUAUGACGGUGUUGGAUGAUAUGACGGAGGAGCAAGGUUGCAUCGAAGUGGCGUUAGAUCCUCUCGUUGUAGGGGUGACUCAUAUUGUAGAAGUGGUAGAGAGACAGACAGUUCCAUCCUCUCUUCCCUGACCUACUGGGUAGAGAUGAGUCACUCUAAAAUCUUGAAGAGCCGGUAGACAUCCUCUCAAAGUGACCCGUCUCGGGCUGCCCUAUUCAGUAAGGACCCUUGUCUCUUAGUGUUCUUGUACUUAUUUU